ACUUAUAUAAUUUAUAGAGAAUAUUGUAUUGAAGAUACAAAAGAGACAAUAUACAUAUGUCUAUAGGUA
This 69-nucleotide transfer RNA is filed under the name Bottapotamon lingchuanense. RNAcentral's name for it is "tRNA-Phe". The record is from RNAcentral. Lineage: Eukaryota; Metazoa; Arthropoda; Malacostraca; Decapoda; Potamidae.